GCUCUUCUGGAUGAGUUGCGAACGGGUGAGUAACGCGUAAGUAACCUGCCUGGUAGCGGGGGAUAACUAUUGGAAACGAUAGCUAAUACCGCAUAACAGUCGACAUUGCAUGAUGUUGAUUUGAAAGGGGCAAUUGCUCCACUACCAGAUGGACCUGCGUUGUAUUAGCUAGUUGGUGAGGUAACGGCUCACCAAGGCGACGAUACACAGCCGACCUGAGAGGGUGAUCGGCCACACUGGGACUGAGACACGGCCCAGACUCCUACGGGAGGCAGCAGUAGGGAAUCUUCGGCAAUGGACGGAAGUCUGACCGAGCAGCGCCGCGUGAGUGAAGAAGGUUUUCGGAUCGCUAAAGCUCUGUUGUAAGAGAAGAACGAGUGUGAGAGUGGAAAGUUCACACUGUGACGGUAUCUUACCAGAAAGGGACGGCUAACUACGUGCCAGCAGCCGCGGUAAUACGUAGGUCCCGAGCGUUAUCCGGAUUUAUUGGGCGUAAAGCGAGCGCAGGCGGUUAGAUAAGUCUGAAGUUAAAGGCUGUGGCUUAACCAUAGUACGCUUUGGAAACUGUUUAACUUGAGUGCAGAAGGGGAGAGUGGAAUUCCAUGUGUAGCGGUGAUAUGCGUAGAUAUAUGGAGGAACACCGGUGGCGAAAGCGGCUCUCUGGUCUGUAACUGACGCUGAGGC
This 684-nucleotide ribosomal RNA is filed under the name uncultured Streptococcus sp. RNAcentral describes it as "bacterial SSU rRNA". It matches the Rfam family "Bacterial small subunit ribosomal RNA", at positions 81 to 752 of the family's 1533-position model. Lineage: Bacteria; Bacillati; Bacillota; Bacilli; Lactobacillales; Streptococcaceae. The record is from RNAcentral.